GAUGAACGCUAGCGGCAGGCCUAACACAUGCAAGUCGAGGGGUAGAGUUCUUCGGGACUUGAGACCGGCGCACGGGUGCGUAACGCGUAUGCAAUCUACCUUAUACAGGGGAAUAGCCCAGAGAAAUUUGGAUUAAUGCCCCAUAGUGUUAUCGAAUCGCAUGGUUUGAUAACUAAAGUUCCAACGGUAUAAGAUGAGCAUGCGUCCCAUUAGUUAGUUGGUAAGGUAACGGCUUACCAAGACAAUGAUGGGUAGGGGUCCUGAGAGGGAGAUCCCCACACUGGUACUGGGACACGGACCAGACUCCUACGGGAGGCAGCAGUGAGGAAUAUUGGUCAAUGGGCGCAAGCCUGAACCAGCCAUGCCGCGUGCAGGAAGACGGUCCUAUGGAUUG
RNAcentral lists this ribosomal RNA (394 nucleotides) under uncultured bacterium. RNAcentral's name for it is "bacterial SSU rRNA". It matches the Rfam family "Bacterial small subunit ribosomal RNA", at positions 28 to 425 of the family's 1533-position model. The record is from RNAcentral.